This 729-nucleotide ribosomal RNA is filed under the name uncultured bacterium. RNAcentral's name for it is "bacterial SSU rRNA". It matches the Rfam family "Bacterial small subunit ribosomal RNA", at positions 762 to 1489 of the family's 1533-position model. The record is from RNAcentral.
UGGGGAGCGAACAGGAUUAGAUAUCCUGGUAGUCCACGCGGUAAUCGAUGAAUGUUAGGUGUAGCGGGUAUCGACCCUUGCUGUGCGGGGAGUAAACACAAUAAGCAUUCCGCCUGGGGAGUACGGCCGCAAGGUUGAAACUCAAAGGUAUUGACGGGGGCCCGCACAAGCAGCGGAGCAUGUGGUUUAAUUCGAAGCAACGCGAAGAACCUUACCAGGUCUUGACAUCGAUCUAAGCCCGUAGAGAUACGGGGUGCCUUCGGGCAAGAGAAGACAGGUGGUGCAUGGUUGUCGUCAGCUCGUGUCGUGAGAUGUUGGGUUAAGUCCCGCAACGAGCGCAACCCUCGCCCUUAGUUGCCCUUAUUCAGUUAGGCACUCUAAGGGGACUGCCGGUGAUAAGCCGAGAGGAAGGUGGGGAUGACGUCAAGUCCUCAUGGCCCUUACGGGCUGGGCUACACACGUGCUACAAUGGUGGUGACAGUGGGCAGCGAGACCGCGAGGUCGAGCUAAUCUCCAAAAGCCAUCUCAGUUCGGAUUGCACUCUGCAACUCGAGUGCAUGAAGUUGGAAUCGCUAGUAAUCGCAGAUCAGCAUGCUGCGGUGAAUACGUUCCCGGGCCUUGUACACACCGCCCGUCACACCAUGGGAGUUGGUUUUACCCGAAGGCGCUGCGCCAACCCGCAAGGGAAGCAGGCGACCACGGUAGGGUCAGCGACUGGGGUGAAGUCGU